GACGAACGCUGGCGGCGUGCCUAAUACAUGCAAGUCGAACGCUGAGGGAGGAGCUUGCUUCUCUGGAUGAGUUACGGACGGGUGAGUAACGCGUAGGUAACCUGCCUGGUAGUGGGGGUUAACUAUUGGAAACGAUAGCUAAUACCGCAUAAGAGUAGAUGUUCCAUGCCAUUUGCUUAAAAGAUGCAAUUUCCUCACUACCAGAUGAACCUGCGGUGUAUUAGCUUGUUGGGGGGGUGACGGCUUAACAAAGCGACGAUACAUAACCGACCUGAGAAGGGGAACCGCCAAACUGGGAAUGGGACACGGGCCAGACUCCUACGGGAGGCAGCAGUAGGGAAACUUCGGGAAUUGACGGAAGUCUGACCGGGCAAAGCCGCGGGAGUGAAGGAGGGUUUCCGAUCGGAAAGAUCUGUUGUAAGAGAAGAAAGAGUGUGGGAGGGGAAAGUACACACUGUGACGGUAUCUUACCAGAAAGAGACGGCUAACUACGUG
Molecule: ribosomal RNA, 495 nt
Filed under: uncultured bacterium
Lineage: Bacteria
Description: partial 16S ribosomal RNA
Rfam family: Bacterial small subunit ribosomal RNA
Source: RNAcentral